RNAcentral lists this unclassified non-coding RNA (977 nucleotides) under Hevea brasiliensis (rubber tree). Lineage: Eukaryota; Viridiplantae; Streptophyta; Magnoliopsida; Malpighiales; Euphorbiaceae. The record is from RNAcentral.
AUAGCAACUCCUCCGAUGAAGAGAACACGGAUGCUCAGCAAAAUUUUGUGGAGAGGAGGCACCAGUUCCCUGAAAUGGAGUUGCUCAUCCAAGAAUUUUCUUUUCACCAGAUGAAUGCUAAUUUACUUUGGCCUGGGACAUUUGCAUUUGCGGAAUGGCUUGCGCAACAUACGUCCUGGUUAAGAGGGCGUCGCAUAAUUGAGCUAGGCAGUGGAACUGGAGCUUUGGCUAUAUUCUUGAGCAAAUCAUAUCAACUUGAUAUUACAACGUCGGACUAUGAUGAUCCUGAUAUUGAAGAGAACAUAGCUCAUAAUUGCCAGGCAAAUGGUGUUUCACCUGCCCUUCCUCACAUAAGGCAUUCAUGGGGAGAUGUGUUUCCAUUAGCUGAUCCUGAUUGGGACCUCAUAAUUGCAAGUGAUAUCUUACUAUAUGUAAAACAAUAUGAGAACUUGGUAAAGACACUAUGCUUUCUCUUGAAAUCCUACAAGCCAAAAGUUAACGAAACUGGUUCUGGAAUUAGUGAAGAAAAAGAUACAUGUCCUUUGCCUCGGCCAGCUUUCUUGAUGAGCUGGAGGCGCAGGAUAGGGAAAGAAGACGAGUCACUCUUCUUCACAGGAUGUGUAAAGGCCGGUCUUGAAGUAAACCAUUUGGGAUCUCGUGUGUAUUGCAUUAAGCCCAAAGAAACCAGCGCCACUGAAGCAGUAUCAGAGAGCUUAGGGAACUGAGAUUUAACUUUGUGCUAGCUACCUCCACCGUGAGGGCACAGGGGUCUAGUGUCCUUUGCUGUAUCUUCAUGUGUUAUUCUUCCAUUAGAUGCGGCUCGUACAUCUUCUGAAUACUCCUCGUUAAUGCUCCCCCGAUAUGAAAAGUUCUUAAUGUAAUUGAAGUACCUGAAUGGAGGAAAUGUAACAGUUAGCCUUGUAAUGGUUCAUUUGAUAUGUUUAGGAUGGAAAUGAUCUCAAUUGAAUAGAGUAAAA